UAAUGAGCAUAUUCAUUGCAGAUAAAGACAAAGAGACAUUUUCUGAAACCAAGGAAAACACUUGGCCUCUCUGCUUUGGUUGGAAUCUUCUUGAUGAAGACUGUAUAUGGGAACAUAUAGCAAAAUUGCCCAUAAUGAUGCUUGUUUGUGUCAAGUUGACAAAAGUAAAUCAACACAACCAAUACUAUAGAUGAAUUCAUGCAGAUCUAGAGAAUGCACAUACUAAGAAUAGCAGGUUCUGAGAAGACAACAACAUGUGACUUGCAUGUACUGGGAAGACAACAGCCUUUGCUCUGCUCACCCUUGAUCAAGCAGGAGGGUGCCAACUGAUGUCUAUGGUGGUUGAAUGUGAUAAUGGUUCCUGUGAAAUGUGAACAAAUGUUAGGCAUUUAAGAAGCUGUUUGACAUAUACAUGCCCAUCAUUAAAGGAAAUCAGAACAGGAACUCAAGCAGUUCUGGAACCUGGAGACUGGAGCUGAUGCAGAGGACAUGGAGGGACACUAAUUGGCUUGUGUCGUGUGGUUUCAUCAGCCUGCUGUCCUAUGGACUUCAGGACCACCAGCCCAAGCAUGGCAGAGCCACAACAUUAAUUCAGCUAUUUCUCUUUAAUCCCAUUAAUACUUCUAUUACUGGAAAUACAGGUAAGUACAUUUUCACAGUAUAAAUAUUUGCACAAGUAAUUCUAGACAGUAAAAUACAUACUGUAGGAAGGAUGAAGAAUAAAGCAAGCCUGCUGCCAAUAUAUUUUCAAGUUUAGAUUGUAUUUUGUGCUUUAUCCUUAAUUUGUGCUGGAGAAUAAUGUGAAUAAUGAAUAAACCAAGUUGGAAACAGUAAUUUAGAUAAGAAAAAUCUAUUAUGUAAUAAUAUGGAAAUGUCAUAAAAAACAUCUACAAUCAAUCUCUGAUGCAGUACAAUUGAAAAGUCCUAAUUAUUAUUUUACU
This 941-nucleotide long non-coding RNA is filed under the name Cricetulus griseus (Chinese hamster). RNAcentral's name for it is "lncRNA (ENSCGRG00015039371.1)". Lineage: Eukaryota; Metazoa; Chordata; Mammalia; Rodentia; Cricetidae. The record is from RNAcentral.